GAGUAAUGCUUGGGAAUAUGCCUUAUGGUGGGGGACAACAGUUGGAAACGACUGCUAAUACCGCAUGAUGUCUACGGACCAAAGUGGGGGACCUUCGGGCCUCACGCCAUAAGAUUAGCCCAAGUGGGAUUAGCUAGUUGGUGAGGUAAUGGCUCACCAAGGCGACGAUCCCUAGCUGGUUUGAGAGGAUGAUCAGCCACACUGGGACUGAGACACGGCCCAGACUCCUACGGGAGGCAGCAGUGGGGAAUAUUGCACAAUGGGCGCAAGCCUGAUGCAGCCAUGCCGCGUGUGUGAAGAAGGCCUUCGGGUUGUAAAGCACUUUCAGUAAGGAGGAAAGGUUAAGUGUUAAUAGCACUUAGCUGUGACGUUACUUACAGAAGAAGCACCGGCUAACUCCGUGCCAGCAGCCGCGGUAAUACGGAGGGUGCGAGCGUUAAUCGGAAUUACUGGGCGUAAAGCGUACGCAGGCGGUUUGUUAAGCGAGAUGUGAAAGCCCCGGGCUCAACCUGGGAACUGCAUUUCGAACUGGCAAACUAUAGUGUGAUAGAGGGUGGUAGAAUUUCAGGUGUAGCGGUGAAAUGCGUAUAGAUCUGAAGGAGUACCGAUGGCGAAUGCAGCCACCUGUGUCCACCACUGACGCUCAUGUACGAAAGCGUGGGGAGCAAACGGGAUUAGAUACCCUGGGUAGUCCACGCC
RNAcentral lists this ribosomal RNA (699 nucleotides) under Pseudoalteromonas shioyasakiensis. RNAcentral describes it as "bacterial SSU rRNA". It matches the Rfam family "Bacterial small subunit ribosomal RNA", at positions 108 to 801 of the family's 1533-position model. Lineage: Bacteria; Pseudomonadati; Pseudomonadota; Gammaproteobacteria; Alteromonadales; Pseudoalteromonadaceae. The record is from RNAcentral.